CAAUAGCGUAUAUUUAAGUUGUUGCAGUUAAAAAGCUCGUAGUUGGAUUUCUGCUGAUCGCUGUCGGUCUGCCGUCAGGUGUGUACUGGCAGUGUUUGGCAUCUAUUCGAGAUUGGGUGUCCACUUGAUUGUGUGCACUCGAUGUCGGAGCUAAUACUUUGAGAAAAUUAGAGUGUUCCACGCAGGCGCGUGCCUUGAAUACUGCAGCAUGGGAUAUUGGAAGGCCGAUUGAGCUUUCUUGUUGGUUCUCGGUUUGAUCGGAAUGAUUAAUAGGGAUAGUUGGGGGCAUUCGUAUUCAACUGUCAGGGGUGAAAUUCUUGGAUUUGUUGAAGACGGACUACUGCGAAAGCAUCUGCCAUGGAUGUUCUCAUUG
Molecule: ribosomal RNA, 373 nt
Filed under: uncultured eukaryote
Lineage: Eukaryota
Description: partial 18S ribosomal RNA
Rfam family: Eukaryotic small subunit ribosomal RNA
Source: RNAcentral